CGGGACGGGUGAGUAAUGUCUGGGAAACUGCCCGAUGAGGGGGAGUAACUACUGGAAACGGUAGCUAAUACCGCAUAACGUCGCAAGACCAAAGAGGGGGACCUUCGGGCCUCUUGCCAUCGGAUGUGCCCAGAUGGGAUUAGCUAGUAGGUGGGGUAAUGGCUCACCUAGGCGACGAUCCCUAGCUGGUCUGAGAGGAUGACCAGCCACACUGGAACUGAGACACGGUCCAG
Molecule: ribosomal RNA, 233 nt
Filed under: uncultured bacterium
Lineage: Bacteria
Description: partial 16S ribosomal RNA
Rfam family: Bacterial small subunit ribosomal RNA
Source: RNAcentral